GAAAUAACAAAACCGAUGAAUAAGCUUCUAACUUAAAUCUUAAGCGUUGUAAUACGUUUUUAUUUCU
This 67-nucleotide transfer RNA is filed under the name Longitarsus dorsalis. Its description in RNAcentral is "tRNA-Ser". The record is from RNAcentral. Lineage: Eukaryota; Metazoa; Arthropoda; Insecta; Coleoptera; Chrysomelidae.